UAUCAGAGCAUAUCAGAAUCAAUAUUCAAGAUCAUUAACAAUCCUAAAUCACAGUAAUGACUAAUGAUAACAACGAUUGAAGAAGCAAGAUGAAAAUUUAUAAAUUAACUAACCAAUUAAAAGUUUAAAACAACAAUUACAGUUACAAAAAUAAUAAAAAAAACUUCUAAAGAGAGCAGAAAUUGUAGUAUCGUUGUGAAAAAUCCAACUCGACCAGGCUUAGUCAAGGGGGAAGAUGAAUAAUAACCCGUGAAAAGUGUUUCAUUUUGAAUGCAAAGAUACACCAAAUUCAUGUCAAAUUGCGUUAAAGGUAAACAGUGUUUGACUUUGAAGGGUUAUCAGUAAAAUUUACUGAACUGCUCAAACAUGAAGCAGUUGUAAAUGGGAAAAAUCGAAAAAAUCAUAAGAAAACAAGACAAACUCAUCAAGGAAGAUGGCUUUCUUAUAUACAUAUAUACAGGAAU
Non-coding RNA from Arachis ipaensis, 464 nucleotides. Lineage: Eukaryota; Viridiplantae; Streptophyta; Magnoliopsida; Fabales; Fabaceae. The record is from RefSeq and is a predicted model, not a curated record.